RNAcentral lists this non-coding RNA (117 nucleotides) under Kutzneria sp. 744. RNAcentral describes it as "SAM riboswitch aptamer (S box leader)". It matches the Rfam family "SAM riboswitch aptamer (S box leader)". Rfam says of the family: The SAM riboswitch is found upstream of a number of genes which code for proteins involved in methionine or cysteine biosynthesis in Gram-positive bacteria. The SAM riboswitch acts at the level of transcription termination control. RNAcentral also lists the same sequence under 1 other name. Lineage: Bacteria; Bacillati; Actinomycetota; Actinomycetes; Pseudonocardiales; Pseudonocardiaceae. The record is from Rfam by way of RNAcentral.
CGCUCAUCCAGAGGGGCAGAGGGAACGGCCCGUUGAAGCCCCGGCAACCGGCGACGCACGCUUUGCGGUGCGUCGAUCACGGUGCCAAUUCCGACCCACACGUGGGAAAGAUGAGGA